Long non-coding RNA from Spea bombifrons (plains spadefoot toad), 1076 nucleotides. RefSeq lists it as uncharacterized. NCBI's taxonomy places the organism in Eukaryota, Metazoa, Chordata, Amphibia, Anura, Pelobatidae. The transcript is spliced from 2 exons. The record is from RefSeq and is a predicted model, not a curated record.
AAGAUAGUAUAGUUCCCUUCACUGGUGAAAUAAUCACGUUUUGUCACUAUUUUUUUUCAUUAUUGGAUAAUUGUGUUUGAUAAUAUGUAUAAAUACUACUUUGUCCUCAAACCCUGAUUGAGUUUGUAAGACUAGAGCCUCCGACAACAUACUUAAACAUGGACACAGUCACCUGCGGUGGCUUCCGUACAUGGCUCAUUAUCUGUGUAAUAAUAUGGGCAAGCAGCUGCUAACCUAUGGAAUAAUAACAAACUCUUGGGCUAUAAGUUGGCUUUGUGGAUCAGUUUAAUGACCGUUACUAAGUGGGAUUCUGCUAUUCUUAUAGACAACUGUAAAUACCAUAACACCGCGCAGAUCCUAAUAGCACAUGACUAGGACCUACUUUUCUCUUAUACUGUUAAUAUAAAUGUAAAAAUAUUGUAAUAUAACAAUUUAUUAAAAAAUAGUUGCACAGUAUUAUUCUUUUAAUUUGGAAACUCACUUUGAUUGCCGUCAAUAAAAUUGUAUUUCACCCAGUUCUUUAUCAUUUCAUGCUAUAUAUGGGGAAUGAUGGUUACAAACUGCAUAUUGGAAAGCAGCAUGCACAUCCACAGGACUGAACACAUUGUCUCAGAAUGUGGAAUAAAAUAUUGCGAGCUAUAGCUCAAACAAAACUCAUAAAAUUAAACAGUUUUAAUGUUCUAGAUUCAAAAAUAAAUGAUGUCCUCAGUUGGCUUUAUGUAUUAUUGCAAGGACUGCCAUAGUUUCUAUCUUUUGUCUUCUCUUCAAUAUAAGUGCACUGAUGGGUUUUUACUGAUUUUACUUACCAGGAAUAUGCUCCAACUAUAUAACAUGUAUAUUUGUUUUAUAUCUUAAUGCAUAUGCUAAGUUAAAAUGAAUUUCAGGACAAGAAAACAAGUGUUUUUCGGAUACUGUUUGUUUUUAAAAUCUGUAGAAAUACCUUUGUAUGGAAGUGAAUAAAUCUGUUCAAAUAUUUGAAUGGCAUCUUGGAAAGAUGUAGGUGCUUAUAUAAAUAACCUAAAUGUAUUGUCUAAUGUGCCUAUUAUUUACUAAAAUAUACAGAAUUUUCAAUGAAA